RNAcentral lists this unclassified non-coding RNA (178 nucleotides) under Kosakonia radicincitans. RNAcentral's name for it is "IS061 RNA". Lineage: Bacteria; Pseudomonadati; Pseudomonadota; Gammaproteobacteria; Enterobacterales; Enterobacteriaceae. The record is from RNAcentral.
GAUCAUAUAUUAUCUAUUCCCGCUGAUAAAAAAAUAGAGCCUGCCGACAUCCGUCAGGCUCUACAGUACACACAAUGACGCUUCCUUUCGUUAUUUCCUGCAGUGUCCUCCGUGUGCGGUAAAUAUAGUUAUAGCGAUGCGCGUAAAUAUUUCCAGUAGGAAAUGGUGAUUGAUUUCA